CCACGAGAUGGGGCGACCGGCCAUGGCUUUUCCUGCCACUUCCUCUGCGGUCGAGGCCAUUUGCUCCAGGGAACAACACUGGUCUCCCCAGGCUCGGUGGCAAGGCUGCCUGCAUCCAUCGGGACCAAACCCCCACGCCAGAGGACUUGCUGCGAGCAGCUGGGCACAGGUCACUGCCCGCCAAGAGAAUGGACUGGCCUAAACCAAAGCAACCUCAUGCUGAACUCACCUUGAGAGUGGCUGUAGAGUCCUCGAGUCUUGUCUUGCUCGGAGCUGUGUUGUAAAGCAUUUUCAGAAGCAGCUAUAGAAGUAGGACUGAGUUCCUCUAUGAACCGAUACUCUACCAAAGGAACAUCUUUAAAAUACGCUUCCCACGUCCAGUUCUUCCCUCCCCCUCUUGCUCUUGGCCUCUCUGCCCACAGCAUCACCCUCAGCCUCCUCUGCGCAUCCUUGCCCUGAGGAAGUCAGCCCAGGCUCCUCCUCCUCCUCCUCUGGCCACAGCCCCUUCUCCUCUCUGCUUGACUCUCGCUGCACACGAGGAGAGGCACCUUGCAGCUCCCCGUCCCUCGCUGCACACGAGGAGAGGCACCCCGCAGUUCCCCGUCCCUCCUGCCAGCCCCAGCAUCCAUGGAAGCCCCUGGCACUGUGUCUGUGCCCACCUACAAGUGCUGGUCCAUCUUUAACAUCCUGUGCUGCUGUCUGCCCCUGGGGGUGAUUGCCCUCUACUACUCAGGACAGGUGGAGGAACGCCUGAGGUACCAUGACACUGAUGGAGCACGUGCUGCCUCUAAAACCGCGAAAACCAUCAACUGCGUAGCGCUGCUGCUGGGGCUGGUGGCCUUGGCCCUGACGAUCUUCUACUGCGUCAAAUACCAGCAGAUGCUCAGCAGGACAUGAACACAGCCCACCACGACGGCCUUCCGUUAAAAGCUUUGGCUGAGCCCAGGGCAGGGGUGUAGGGCUCUGCAUUUGUGAAACCUGUCUGAAAUGUUGCUUGGUUUGGCUGCUUUCUCUUUCCUAAACUUAUUGGCAGUUAGCAAGAGCUUUGCUGGCGAGAGGACCUAUGCGCUCAUACGCACGAGCGUUGCAGGGCCGUGGAUUUAGGUGCUUGGGAUGGAGCCCCCGGUCAAGCACCACUCUUUCCUAGGUGCUCUGCCUUGCCAGGGCAAGACGUGUUCACAAGCCCUCAGGUUUGGGGAAAUCCCUUGUGGGGUGGGAGUGCGCGUGUGGGCGGACUGCAAGCUGGGGCACUGUGGAACGGAGCUGGUGUUCGUGCUCUUUUGCUUUUGCUGUGGUAGCUCAGCGCCGCAAGCUGCUGCUUGUCCCUGCGAAAGAGCGGUGUCCGCCCAGUGCGAGGCCAGACCAAGCGCACUUAGGUUGUUGCCUGGGACAUCAUUGCUCUCCCUGCUGGUCCUUGUGUUGUCCUAAAUAAAUGGCUUGUGACCUGCCUUGA
Molecule: long non-coding RNA, 1453 nt
Organism: Rhea pennata
Lineage: Eukaryota; Metazoa; Chordata; Aves; Rheiformes; Rheidae
Exons: 4
Source: RefSeq, a predicted model, not a curated record